RNAcentral lists this small RNA (138 nucleotides) under Citrobacter rodentium ICC168. The stretch from base 51 to 137 matches the Rfam family "t44 RNA". Rfam says of the family: This family consists of a number of bacterial RNA genes of between 135 and 170 bases in length. The t44 gene is found between the map and rpsB genes in all species in the full alignment apart from Shigella flexneri. Lineage: Bacteria; Pseudomonadati; Pseudomonadota; Gammaproteobacteria; Enterobacterales; Enterobacteriaceae. The record is from RNAcentral.
CGGACUUCGGUUUCAUUAAAUAUGCACGGAAUGGAACUGAAGCGACAUAUCUCACAUUGUGUAAUUACACACACGUAUCGGCACAUAUUCCGGGGUGCCCUUCGGGGUCGGUAAUAUGGGAUACGUGGAGGCAUAACC